Pelobates cultripes (western spadefoot toad) is the source of this 334-nucleotide non-coding RNA. The record is from the annotation of a GenBank genome assembly. Lineage: Eukaryota; Metazoa; Chordata; Amphibia; Anura; Pelobatidae.
GGCAGAACUGAUUAGGACAACCCCACAAAUUGUAGGAAUUGCGGUUAAAGAAUCCGUUCACAAAAUUGGUUUGUUUGCAGAUGAUAUAAUCCUAGCUAUCAAAAACCCAAAAGAAUCUUUGAGACACCUCAAGGAUAUUUUGACUCAAUUCGGUGAGAUAUCGUAUUACAAAUUAAAUGAGUCCAAAACUCAAGCCCUUCCGUUUCAUUUAAACAAUUUGGAAACCAUUGCCCUUAAGAAAUCAUAUUUAUUUGAUUGGAGAACUGAAUAUAUGGAAUAUCUUGGCAUUAAUUUAUGCAAAAAUUUGGUCAAUAUGCACAAUCACAACCUGAGG